RNAcentral lists this long non-coding RNA (1061 nucleotides) under Zostera marina. RNAcentral's name for it is "long non-coding RNA (ZMAR_LNC006180)". The record is from RNAcentral. Lineage: Eukaryota; Viridiplantae; Streptophyta; Magnoliopsida; Alismatales; Zosteraceae.
CAGUUCAUGAAUGGCUUGAGCAACACGGUAAGGGUCACUGAUUUAUUUUAUUUUUGUAUCAUUAUACCUUGGGGAUUGAUAGCAAAUUCUGUUGUAAAUAUGAUUUGCACCAAAGAAAAAAAUGGUUAGAAAAUUGUGCAUGAAUCACACAACUUUUGAUGUAAUUGGAUUUGAAUGAGAUGUAAAUAAAUACAAAACUAAGUUAUAGUAACUGCUGUUGUAUCAGUUAAUGUAGUUUGCUCAGCCUAAGGUGAGUUCAAAAGCGCUCACCCUAGCUGAGCCAUCCGAUCCCCUUCCUUCACAUCCAGACCGUCCUUUCAUUUAUAGUUUUUUUUUUUUUUUUUUUUUUUUUUUGCACAGAGUACAAUAUAUUCUGCUUUCUAUCCUACCUACCUAUGACACCUACUUAUGACACCUAUGUGUACGUAUGCUCUUUUCAUCCUAUCUCAUACACUUUAUUUCAUCUCUUCUUUCCCGGAAUUCCAUUUUCUUCUUGAAUUUUUUUCUUCAUCACUCAUUCUUCUCUGUCGGUAAGUAAUUCAAAUAUUUGUUCAGAAGUUUUUUUAAUUUCAUCUAAUACUCGAAAAUAUCUAUCUUUAAAUAAUCACCAUUGCCCUCUCAUCUCACGAAUCACGAUCAUAGAGAUUUUAGGGAUUUUACACAAAAGUUAUUAUAAUUUUUAAAAGGGUGAUUUCCAAAUCAACCUAUUUUGAAUAUAUUUAAGGUCUCCUUCCAUAUCUUAUCGUCUCCUCAAUCUAAAGACUCGUUGUUCAAUCUGACCCUGUUGUUUUAAUUUUUUUUGAUGAAGUACUUCGCGUACUUAUUGAAAUACAUGUUCCUGAGGUGAAAUACAUGUCUCCGAAGUCGUUGGAAUCAUUGUUUCUGAAAUGUUUGAACCUGUUGUUUUUGAAUUAGUUGAUACCCUUGUUCCUGAAAUGGUUUCCACUAAUGUUUCUAAAAAGGUUGAAACCGUUCUUCUUGAAUUGGUUGAUAUUGUUGUUUCAUAAAUGGUUUUAACCAACGAUCCUGAAUUCGUUGAAAUCAUUGUUCCUGAAUUGUUU